Long non-coding RNA from Heterocephalus glaber (naked mole-rat), 1859 nucleotides. The record is from Ensembl. NCBI's taxonomy places the organism in Eukaryota, Metazoa, Chordata, Mammalia, Rodentia, Bathyergidae.
GUUUCAUGUUGGUCGCCUGGUUUAAAAAGAAAUUAAACUAUCUUCUUCACAUUCUUGUAAUGAUCUCCCUCCUUUUGUGCCUCCUUCCAGAGUGAAUCACAAAUUUCAUAGAGAAGGUGGGCAGAUGGCUCAAGUCUGUACUGUUUGAAAUCCUUACAGGGUCAUCUCUUCCUAUGUAGGUGUUGCAGCUAGGGAUUGUGGCUCCUGAUUUUGGAUCAGGGAAUGGUGGCCCGGAGCCUUCCUGCCUGGGACUGAGUUACCGGAGGGUCUCUCACUUCUCUUCUUAUCCUAAGCAGUGUUUCCCAUUUGUUUGUUUGUUUCUUUGCAGUACUGAGGAUCCAACUGAGGACCUUGCGCUUUUGAGGCAUGGUGCCACUGAGCUAAAUCCCCAGCCAUCCCCCCAUUGUUUAUUAUACUUUUCCUGCUCCAAUCUUCUCCAUCUGGCCUGGUCUUUGUCUUGGUUGCUUUUUAUUAAGCAGACCUUCCUGGAUGGGUCAGGACAAGUUCCCAUGCAGAACAGAGAAGCUGUUGUAGGAGACCUGCAACAGCCCCUCUACCCUUCUGUCUUCUUCAGUCAGGUGGUAGGAUUUUCUUUCAGUGGGCUCAUAGUCUUUUAUACCAGAAUUAGAGGAUCCUGGAAGUGCAGAUCCUACAAAGGAAGGCUCAGUGACUCAUUAAUCCUAAGACACACUAACUUCAGCAGGGAAUCUCUGUCUCUGACUGUCUGUCUGUCACCCACCCUCUCUCAGCCUCAGUCCUGAAGUUGAACCUAGGGCCUCACACAUGCUCCGCAAGUACUCUGUCUCUGAGCUUCAGCCCCAGUCCUCAUUGGGGUUCUAGCCGUGAUUUGGAGGAAGAGACUGGAACUGGGACCAUCCAGAACCUGCAGAGCAUGGACCCAGGGGAGAACCUGGGGAUACCCAGAAGGGCAUUUACACAACAAUUUUAUGAACAAACAGGUUAGCAGAGCACAUCGGUUGCAUUCCUGAACGAGAGCUGAAGUUAGCAUCUUCCUCUGAGACCCCAAGUGGUGUCUCUCUAAUGACAAGGGAAUAUUCUUGCACAUGUGCAGAUGUCGGGCAGUGGGCGGCAAGAGAAGGGACAGAGCUGCUUACAUCUGUUUCUUUUGUAACCAAGAGCAAAACUGUGGUGCUCAGGCAGCCCAGCAGGGCCAAUCGGCACAAUGCCCAAACACACCGACAACUUUUGCCUUGGCCUCCUCUUGGCUCUCCCUGCAGCAAACCUGUGAACACAGGGCCAGAGCCAGGCUCUGGAUGGAAGGACUCAAAGGUGUCCUGCCUUUCUGUUGCUUCCAUCUGCACCAUCACUGGAAAAAUCCUCCUACGUCCAUGCCUGUCCUUCGACGUAUACAAGCAGGUUUUGAUUUCACGCGUGGAGUUUUCUAGUGGAACAUUACGUUGAGUUACAUGUCAUCAGUCAUACACCACCAAGCCACCCUCCGGUAACUCACUGGGACAUGGAGCAAGUGUCCUUGGCUGCAACAGUUACAGAGCAUGGGGGGUGGACCCCAGGACGGCCACUGCCACCUUCUGUGGACACCUCUGCUGACCUUCCCUACCCUUGUUCAUCCAUGCUCCCCUGCCUUCCUUCCAACACCUGUUUUUUUCUCCCUUGAGAAGGAGGAAGGCAGGUGGGGGUCUUGCGCGCAGAUCUUGGCCCCAGCCUUGCUUCGCCUCUUUACAGUGGAUCUUCAAGCUACAUACUUCUCUAAGCUCGGGUUACUCCUCUAAAAAUGGGCACAAUAGUACUUGCCUGCUGAAGUGAUCCAGAAACUUGCUGAGUUUUUCCUUCAAAUAAAUAAACAAGUAAAACCAACCAUUUCCUACUUAGACCCUCCG